GCUUCCGGCACAGCGGAACUCCGGGUGCCGGUUGAGGUUGCUGGUGGACCUGCUCUGGUGGUCUUGGAUGAGGCCCCAUGAGCGCGGCGCCCCUGGUGGGCUACAGCAGCAGCGGCUCCGAGGAUGAGUCCGAGGACGGGAUGCGGACCAGGCUGGGGGAUGGGAGCCACCGUCGUGGCCACAGCCCCCUUCCCAGGCAGAGAUUUCCAGUACCUGACAGUGUGCUGAACAUGUUCCCGGGCACCGAGGAGGGGCCUGAAGAUGACAGCACAAAACACGGGGGACGGGUGCGCACCUUCCCCCACGAGCGAGGCAACUGGGCCACCCACGUCUAUGUACCAUAUGAAGCCAAGGAGGAGUUCCUGGAUCUGCUUGAUGUGUUGCUGCCCCAUGCCCAGACAUAUGUCCCCCGGCUGGUAAGGAUGGAGGCGUUCCACCUCAGCCUGUCCCAGAGUGUGGUUCUGCGCCACCACUGGAUCCUCCCCUUCGUGCAGGCUCUGAAAGCCCGUAUGACCUCCUUCCACAGAUUCUUCUUUACUGCCAACCAGGACCUUUAUUGGGCUUGAGGUCACUUCAGGGCAUGCCCAGUUCCUGGACCUGGUUUCAGAGGUGGACAGAGUCAUGGAGGAAUUCAACCUCACCACUUUCUACCAGGAUCCUUCUUUCCACCUCAGCCUGGCCUGGUGUGUGGGUGAUGCACGUCUCCAGCUGGAGGGGCA
This 719-nucleotide small RNA is filed under the name Pan troglodytes (chimpanzee). RNAcentral's name for it is "processed transcript". Lineage: Eukaryota; Metazoa; Chordata; Mammalia; Primates; Hominidae. The record is from RNAcentral.